Molecule: long non-coding RNA, 425 nt
Organism: Camelina sativa (false flax)
Lineage: Eukaryota; Viridiplantae; Streptophyta; Magnoliopsida; Brassicales; Brassicaceae
Source: RefSeq, a predicted model, not a curated record
ACUCCCUUCUUCUUUUCUAAUUCUUUCUUCCUGUAAUUUCUCUUGUUUUCAUACUUGAUUCUAUUGUGUAGGUUUAAUCAAAGAUGAGACUCCAACAAAAGCACCCAAUUCUGGUUGAUCCGAGGUAUGAAGAAUCCAAACUUGAACUUUCCAUGAAGUUUUCUAAGGCUUAACAUCUCAGAUGAAUGCCAAGGCUGCAGCCAUUGGCAAUACUUUUUGUAUGUUUAGCUACUUUUAAAGGAGGAAUGAUAAGUGUUUGAUGAUUUUCAGAGCCAAAACGACAUUCACGUGAAGCCCAACAACAUACAAACCGGAUUAUACGUGAAAGGACGCGGAUCCUUUCUCCAAACGGGUCGGGUAAUGUCGAUUCUUUAUUUUUUACAAAAUUACCCUUCCAAUUUCAAUAAACACUCUCCUUUACAGUU